This 331-nucleotide ribosomal RNA is filed under the name uncultured Clostridium sp. RNAcentral's name for it is "bacterial SSU rRNA". It matches the Rfam family "Bacterial small subunit ribosomal RNA", at positions 28 to 339 of the family's 1533-position model. The record is from RNAcentral. Lineage: Bacteria; Bacillati; Bacillota; Clostridia; Eubacteriales; Clostridiaceae.
GAUGAACGCUGGCGGCGUGCCUAACACAUGCAAGUCGAACGGAUUUUACUCGCUGCAGAGACUUCGGUCAAAGCUUGAGUAAAGUUAGUGGCGGACGGGUGAGUAACGCGUGGGCAACCUGCCUCAUACUGGGGGAUAACAGUUGGAAACGACUGUUAAUACCGCAUAAGCGCACGGUGUCGCAUGACACAGUGUGAAAAACUCCGGUGGUAUGAGAUGGGCCCGCGUCAGAUUAGCUAGUUGGUGAGGUAACGGCUCACCAAGGCGACGAUCUGUAGCCGGACUGAGAGGUCGGACGGCCACAUUGGGACUGAGACACGGCCCAAACUCC